GGAGGAUACUACUCGAGCGGUUUGCCUGUGUAUGAAACUACCAACGUGGAUAGCAUCAAGAAUAUCAGAGGAACCCCGAUUGCAAAUGCCUCAUAGUAACAUAUAUUUUUAGUACUGUGUAUUAUUUCAUUUUUAUGGGAGAUGAUCAUAUAAAUUUAUGUUAGAUGCAUGCAUGGAUGUGGUCGACAUGGAAGUGAAUUUUGCUUCUUUUUUCUCUUUCUCUUUCAUCUUCUAGGAAAGUUCUAGCGGUGCUUUUCUCUGUAUAUACAGUUGGGAAUGUUUGUUUGUCUUUUGUUUUUGUUUUUACUAGUAGUUAGUUUGGAGCUAUAUAAUCAGGAUUUCCAGUACUAGAACACCAGUUUGGUGGAUUGGCUUGAUUGAUAGGCAUGAAUUCCCUUGGUAUGAUCCCUGAAACUUGCACUGAAUUAUACUUUUUCUGGAGAAGUAUGGCAUGCACGAUCAUCAUAUCAUAUCAUGUGACCUGCAAUGUGUUUUACUUUUCCGAUCAUGAGUUUGGACAUAAUCAUGUCGAUCAAUUUUUCCAUUAAACAUGUGUGUUUAUCGUAAACUUCAUUUCUUGGAAUUUCAUCUACCAUCAUGUAUUAGAGUGAUAUUCCUUUGCAAUGUGUGUUCUUUUUUCAUUUCUUUUGAAAUAAAGGGGGGGGGGGUAGCUAGAGAGCAGUUGUGCUCUUCUAUCUUCAUUUUCAUCGGAAAAAAUAAAUAAAAAUCUCCUUAUCUGUAAUUAUAAAAGACAGGUUGUCGGUGAGCUGUGACUUGGUUAGUUAAGGUGUUUAACUGAUAAUUUUGAGGUCACGAGUUCAAACUUCACUGACAUAUGUAGGGUGUGUGAGUUAUUAAUAAAAUAUUUAAAAAAAAAAACAGAAUUAAAAGAAAGGCCAAAAAUGGUUCUUAGUUCUUACCAUCCUUAAUUCUUUUAUGUGAUAGUGUCGGCACAAUUCCAAUAAUCAAAUUCGGCCAUCUUGGAAACAAUGGUCUGCUACUCUGCUUGUUGAUCUGCACAAUGCCAAAAUCUUAAAAUUAAUCAAUUAAAAACAAAACCGAAAUUUAGUUGACGUAGUUAAAAGAAGCUCAACUAUUGUUCUGGUCACUAAGUACAUUGCGUGGUAGCUCAAAAGAGCAAAAGUUCGAUCACAAAUGAGUGAAGCUUUCUGCAAUUGGCUAAUGUUUUGCCGAUAUAAUCUUUGUAGAGAAAACGGUUCAAUCACAUAAAUCCAAAUGAGUGAAGCUAAGUAGGGUUUCUUAUUCGGGUCUCCACUCUAGAUCUGCCAUAUACAUAUAACAUAAAAUAGGUUAUGGCUUCUGUAGUGGGGAGCAGACAGGUAAGUGUUUAUAGUGGGGUGUACAAAUAUAUGCAAGGGAUUUAUAUUCCUUUUGGUCUGAAUAUGCAGGGGAUGCAUGACAUGGUAAUCUGCUUUGGUUCCAUAUGAUGCAUGGGAAAAGCAUAAAAGUUUAAGCUCCCAACCUCAAAAUAGUUAAGCCAUUGAUCAUGAUAUUAAACAUAAACUCUGUACGUCUAAUCAAAACGAUCUAGAACAAAAAGGUGAUCCAGCAUUAUUCCAGUACUUUGAUUACUAUUAGAAACAAUCUCUCUAGAUUCUACACAAAGCCAAACUAAUCAGUUACUCUUGGCAAAUUGAGCACAUAGAUGGUAGCCUGAUAUGACAAACUAGCAACUUGAUCUCCUAACUCUGGAAACCAUGAAUCAAGACUAUUCGGGCCAGCAACAAAAAAAAGGUAGUUUCCCUGUAUUCUUUUGGGAAUGAUGCAAACCAUCCACAAAAUUGAAAGCCCCAAAUGGCAAAAAUUGUUCACAAACAUGUAAGCUCAGCCAUAGAGGUGGUGAAAAUGAUAUCAAGUUAGGUGAGCUAUCCUUGUCGCUAUUGGAAUGACUGGUUUCUAUCAUCAAUCUUACACUAGGAACAAACUGGUGUGGUCUGAAAAUUGGCCUCUAACAGACUCAAUUGAUUGAUGUGGCUGCAGUUCCUAACACAAGGAAUUGAACCACACCAAAUUGCCACUUCUGAAAGCUGCAUCAGUUACUUGUAUGUAUGAGACGCUGCUACGCAUACAGAAAAAGGAAGUAUACAACUAGGACUGGAAUGUCAACAAUCAUGAAUCGUGAUCCUUUUGGUUUUGGAUAUCCUAUUGAAACUGAGCAAUGAUGCAAACAAACACAGGAAUGGAUUUAAGUUCUGUAACUACCAAUAUUGGUGGUAUUGGGGGUCCAAGUUAACUUAUCACUAAUCGAUGUUGAUGAUAUUGAUUACUAAGGUUUAACCCCACACGUCCUGAAACUGUAACUCAAAGAGAAAGAAAUGACCUGCUUUUCUCUGUGCAAAACAUAUAUGAUCUCCUAUUCUCCUUCCUUUUAUAAAAAGUAUCUGCAAAGUGAGAUCACUAGCUCCCGUUAACCCUCUUUUCACUAUAAUGGCACUAUCCCAAUUAUCAAAUCCACCCUGGUUCAACCUGUUCAACAUAUCACAUGAUUCACAUCUGAUAAAGCUAUCCCAUCACAUUUACUAGUCCCUUUGCUACUUGUGCUUCUAACAAAAUGGAGACUCUACUUAGGUAACUAACUACGUAUAGAUAGAUAAGCAUUCUCCCUUCGCGGGUAAGUUGGCGAUGAGUGUAACUUUGAUACAAUGUUAGACAAUGAAUCAGUAAGGAGCUAGCAUUAUUGUAUGUCAACUUGUCAAGCUAUUUCAACAUAAAGCAAACUAGGUAGUACUUCUUAAUUAUUCAGCCGCAAGAAAACCAAGCACAGAACCAGACUAAUGAAAAUGGGCAGGAACAACGUAUGCACACCCGAUCAAGCAUAACACCAACCAUUAUCUCUGUCAAAUAAACCCUAACACCAACUAAAAAAAUCUCGAGUGGAAAGAUGAAUGUGCAUAUAUACCUUUAGGAGUUCUCGAUCAACUUUGUGUUCAUCUGCCAUAACUUCUGGUAAACGAAAGCAGAGACAACAACCUUCUUUGAUUUAUUCCAACAUGUGGGAGGUCCUAGCUCUAUGGUUCCCAUCGCACCAGAGCCAACCAUCUAUGUCUUUGAUCUAAAUGUAACCACAUUUUUGAACCAGAUCAUAAGGAUCAAACAAGUUUUAUAGUUGAUCCACAUUUGGGGAACAAGAGCAGGAAUCUGACCCCCUCCCACUCCCAGGGGUGAAACUUAUUGUGAUC
This 3200-nucleotide long non-coding RNA is filed under the name Fragaria vesca (wild strawberry). RNAcentral describes it as "long non-coding RNA (FVES_LNC002020)". The record is from RNAcentral. Lineage: Eukaryota; Viridiplantae; Streptophyta; Magnoliopsida; Rosales; Rosaceae.